UAAUGUCUGGGAAACUGCCUGAUGGAGGGGGAGUAACUACUGGAAACGGUAGCUAAUACCGCAUAACGUCGCAAGACCAAAGAGGGGACCUUCGGGCCUCUUGCCAUCAGAUGUGCCCAGAUGGGAUUAGCUAGUAGGUGGGGUAACGGCUCACCUAGGUGACGAUCCCUAGCUGGUCUGAGAGGAUGACCAGCCACACUGGAACUGAGACACGGUCCAGACUCCUACGGGAGGCAGCAUG
This 241-nucleotide ribosomal RNA is filed under the name uncultured bacterium. Its description in RNAcentral is "partial 16S ribosomal RNA". It matches the Rfam family "Bacterial small subunit ribosomal RNA", at positions 111 to 353 of the family's 1533-position model. The record is from RNAcentral.